Long non-coding RNA from Megalobrama amblycephala (Wuchang bream), 914 nucleotides. RefSeq lists it as uncharacterized. The transcript has 5 exons. Lineage: Eukaryota; Metazoa; Chordata; Actinopteri; Cypriniformes; Xenocyprididae. The record is from RefSeq and is a predicted model, not a curated record.
AGUAUGCAAUAUUAAAAAGAACUGUUUAUAAUGAUUUCUUUCUUUUUUAUAUAUUGGAAUUAUUGUUCAGGUACAUUUGCAAAACAACUUAAAAUGUAUAAUGUGCACAUCCUCAUGAUUACUUAACAUUUUCUUUAGGAAAAUUGCAUCCUAUGUUUUGACUUUACUUAAAGCCAUCAACAAUGCAUUUAUAGAGGUUAGUAACUAUUAUCACUCACAAUAAGUAUUUAUAAAAACACAACACAGGUAUUAAUAACAAUAUAUUCACUUAUUGGACAGAAAUAAAUAUAUAAAUUUAACUAUAACUGUUCUUUUAAUGCAGUAUAUGUCUUAAUGAGUUUUUAAAAUAUAUUUAUAGAAUACUUAACAUAAGUAUAAAUGGAGCUAAAAUUCAUUAUAGGCAUAGACUUAAUAGAAAGUUUUACUGUAUUUAUUAAAUAAAAUUAACUUAUUUGUCACAAUAAAACUGUAAAUGGUUGAUCAAUGAUGUAUUUGUUUUGUAUAUAUAUAUAUAUAUAUAUAUAUAUAAUACAUCACUGAUGAAUUUGAUAUUUUUAUAUAUUUCUGAAAUGGCAAGAAAGGAAAAAAUAUAUUUUUAUUAGUAAUACGGAAGAUGGCGUCAUCACGUGAUUAAUUCUAACCAAUGAGACUGCUGGAACUGCAUCGCUAAUGAGCUGUCAUUCCGGAUUUGACUGCACCGCCCAGUUCUGCUUCAAACAGAUCAUUGGUUCUGCUCUUAUUCUUUGCCAUCUAGUCCUGAUUCCUGACUACAGGUCUUCAGGAUGACCAGGAACUACAGGACGGUUUGAGCUACACUCUGCAGGACGUUGGUCCUCCAUGACCAGGACUGGACAGCACUGUCCUAAAUAAACCUAAGGAGAGCCGCUCAGGCACAGGUCACUGCAUCUUUUGCU